AAGUGCAUCUUGGGAUUUCACUUUUGGGAUAACUGUGCAACUUGGAGAAACAUUCAACUUUGUGAUUCUCCUGAUGAGACCAGAACAGUUCAGGAUGGUGGUGGACUGCAGAUGCAAUGGAUUGAUAGAGUAACAUUGCUAACAUUACAUAAUAGACAAUUUCAAAGGACUGAUACUUGUUGCAUGAUCUGGAAUUAUCUGUCGAAGCAUUAAGUAGGCCCACCUUCUACACUUGAAAGCAAUAAAACAGACAUUUGGAGGAGGGAGAAGAUGAACAUACUACAGGGAUUUGUUCCAUACAGCACGGAGUGGGUAAACAUUAAUUGCACUGCUGAAUUUGAGGACACUGUUCCUCCUCUCUUGCAGCAACUUUGUGAUAUUGUGCCAAUUCCAGGUUUGAACUACUG
Solanum verrucosum is the source of this 407-nucleotide long non-coding RNA. RefSeq lists it as uncharacterized. The transcript is spliced from 3 exons. The record is from RefSeq and is a predicted model, not a curated record. Lineage: Eukaryota; Viridiplantae; Streptophyta; Magnoliopsida; Solanales; Solanaceae.